Molecule: microRNA, 22 nt
Filed under: Canis lupus familiaris (dog)
Lineage: Eukaryota; Metazoa; Chordata; Mammalia; Carnivora; Canidae
Description: Cfa-Novel-3_3p (mature (guide))
Source: RNAcentral
UCUCCAUUGAACGAUGCUCCCC